Molecule: ribosomal RNA, 253 nt
Filed under: uncultured bacterium
Lineage: Bacteria
Description: partial 16S ribosomal RNA
Rfam family: Bacterial small subunit ribosomal RNA
Source: RNAcentral
UACGUAGGGUGCAAGCGUUGUCCGGAAUUAUUGGGCGUAAAGAGCUCGUAGGCGGUUUGUCGCGUCGAAUGUGAAAUCCCGGGGCUCAACCCCGGGCCUGCAUUCGAUACGGGCAGACUAGAGUUCGGUAGGGGAGUCUGGAAUUCCUGGUGUAGCGGUGAAAUGCGCAGAUAUCAGGAAGAACACCCGUGGCGAAGGCGGUUCUCUGGGACGGUACUGACGCUGAGACGCGAAAGCGUGGGGAGCGAACAGG